AAGCCUGAUGGAGCGACACAGCGUGCAGGAUGAAGGCCUUCGGGUUGUAAACUGCUGUUAUAAGGGAAGAAAAAGUCGAGGAGGAAAUGCCUUGACCUUGACGGUACCUUAUCAGAAAGCAACGGCUAACUAUGUGCCAGCAGCCGCGGUAAUACAUAGGUUGCAAGCGUUAUCCGGAAUUAUUGGGCGUAAAGCGUCUGUAGGUUGUUUGUUAAGUCUGGUGUGAAAACUUGGGGCUCAACCCCAAAUUGCAUUGGAUACUGGCAAACUAGAAUUGUGUAGAGGUUAGCGGAAUUCCUUGUGAAGCGGUGGAAUGCGUAGAUAUAAGGAAGAACAUCAACAUGGCGAAGGCAGCUAACUGGACAUAUAUUGACACUGAGAGACGAAAGCGUGGGGAGCAAACAGGAUUAGAUACCCUGGUAGUCCACGCCGUAAACGAUGAUGAUUAGCUGAUGGGAAACUCAUCGGCGCAGCUAACGCAUUAAAUCAUCCGCCUGAGUAGUAUGCUCGCAAGAGUGAAACUUAAAGGAAUUGACGGGGAUCCGCACAAGCGGUGGAGCAUGUGGUUUAAUUUGAAGAUACGCGUAGAACCUUACCCACUCUUGACAUCUUCUGCAAA
RNAcentral lists this ribosomal RNA (619 nucleotides) under uncultured Mycoplasma sp. RNAcentral's name for it is "bacterial SSU rRNA". It matches the Rfam family "Bacterial small subunit ribosomal RNA", at positions 379 to 997 of the family's 1533-position model. Lineage: Bacteria; Bacillati; Mycoplasmatota; Mollicutes; Mycoplasmatales; Mycoplasmataceae. The record is from RNAcentral.